Molecule: ribosomal RNA, 402 nt
Filed under: Phaeophyceae sp.
Lineage: Eukaryota; Phaeophyceae
Description: partial small subunit ribosomal RNA
Rfam family: Eukaryotic small subunit ribosomal RNA
Source: RNAcentral
AUUCCAGCUCCAAUAGCGUAUAUUAAAGUUGCUGCAGUUAAAAAGCUCGUAGUUGGAUUUGUGGCGCGGCCGUCCGGCACGGAUCCUUCAUUGGGCCCGUUUGUCCGGUUUUUCGGCCGCCCCAUUCUCGGGUAGUGUGUCGCUGGCAUUAGGUUGUCGGCUUCUUCACGCCCGUCGUUUACUGUGAAAAAAUUAGAGUGUUCAAAGCAGGCUUAGGCCGUUGGAUACAUUAGCAUGGAAUAAUGGGAUAGGGCCACGACGGUCUAUUUUGUUGGUUUGCACGUUGUGGUAAUGAUUAACAGGAACGGUUGGGGGUAUUCGUAUUCAAUUGUCAGAGGUGAAAUUCUUGGAUUUAUGGAAGACGAACUACUGCGAAAGCAUUUACCAAGGAUGUUUUCAUCA